Long non-coding RNA from Eptesicus fuscus (big brown bat), 1278 nucleotides. RefSeq lists it as uncharacterized. The transcript is spliced from 2 exons. Lineage: Eukaryota; Metazoa; Chordata; Mammalia; Chiroptera; Vespertilionidae. The record is from RefSeq and is a predicted model, not a curated record.
GAGUGGGAAUUUUUGAGCAUUCCAGAGAGGCCGUGGACUAUGCCCCAGAUAGAGUUGUCAGUGCUGACACCAGGCCAGGCCUUGAGAUACGGUCUCAUGGCCCCUUCCCAGCACAUAGGCCUUCUUUCAUAGAACACUGUCGGCUUUCUGGAGAACAGGAUGACCCUGUGAAUAACAUGGUCGUCAUUGGCAUGAUCCUGACGUUGCUUGGGAAAAACUGUUUUGUCUUGGGUUACUUGUUCUGCAAAAACCGGAUGUGGUUAAUGUGCUUAAAAGCGGUCCUACACAAAGGGUCGCUGCUGCUCUCUGGUCUCCCUGCAUGGAGAAUGGCAGAGCAGUCGCCAGGUCGCCCGGCCACCCGGCUAAUAAAGGCCCCCAACCUGUGCUCAAACCCUGCUUCGGGACCCACAACCUCUGCUCUGUGUUCAGAGUAUAUUGUGGGACCGGGCAUGCCUGUACCAAUAAACCCUUUGCUUUUUGCAUAAGAGGCGACUCUUGGUGCUUUGUAAGUGCGGCCAGCGUUCCGGGCGUUACAUUUGGAGGUUCCACCGAGAUUUGCUGCAGCCGCCUUCAGGCUCCAACAGACGCUUCUUGGGUUCUUACAGGCUUUACAGUCUACCCAGAAAGCAGUCCAGAAGCAUCUCUGAUCCGGUCCAUCCUUCCACCCUGGUGACUCUGACUGACUCCUACCUGGAAAGGACCACCUCCACAGCAGUCAAGGUCGACGAGAUCCCGACGUGGCUAAAGAGUCAAUGAUUUGACUCAUGUACAUAAAACCAGUGGGGAAUGUUGGAGAGUGGGAAUUUUUGAGCAUUCCAGAGAGGCCGUGGACUAUGCCCCAGAUAGAGAUGUCACUGCUGACACCAGGCCAGGCCUUGAGAUACGGUCUCAUGGCCCCUUCCCAGCACGUAGCCUUCUUUCAUAGAACACUGUCGGCUUUCUGGAGAACAGGAUGACCCUGUGAAUAACAUGGUCGUCAUUGGCAUAAUCCUGACGUUGCUUGGGAAAAACUGUUUUGUCUUGGGUUACUUGUUCUGCAAAAACCGGAUGUGGUUAAUGUGCUUAAAAGCGGUCCUACACAAAGGGUCGCUGCUGCUCUCUGGUCUCCCUGCAUGGAGAAUGGCAGAGCAGUCGCCAGGUCGCCCGGCCACCCGGCUAAUAAAGGCCCCCAACCUGUGCUCAAACCCUGCUUCGGGACCCACAACCUCUGCUCUGUGUUCAGAGUAUAUUGUGGGACCGGGCAUGCCUGUACCAAUAAACCCUUUGCUUUUUGCAUAA